RNAcentral lists this ribosomal RNA (253 nucleotides) under uncultured bacterium. RNAcentral's name for it is "partial small subunit ribosomal RNA". It matches the Rfam family "Bacterial small subunit ribosomal RNA", at positions 26 to 291 of the family's 1533-position model. The record is from RNAcentral.
AGGACGAACGCUGGCGGCGUGCUUAACACAUGCAAGUCGUGGGCACCAGCAAUGGUGACCGGCGAACGGGUGCGUAACACGUAAGCGACCUACCGAUUUGAGGGGGAUAGCCGGCCCAACGGCCGGGUAAUACCGCAUACGCCAGGCGAGCUUCAUGGCUUGCUUGGGAAACCUCAGGGCAAAUCGAGGGGCUUGCGGCCUAUCAGCUAGUUGGCGGGGUAAUGGCCCACCAAGGCUACGACGGGUAGCUGGU